AAAACAUGGCGUUAGGUUUGAUUUCUAAGGUCGGGCCUGCCCGCUGAAUUAGGUUUUGAAGGGCCGCGGUAAACCUGGACCGUGCUAAGGUAGCAUAAUCAUUUGCUCUUUAAAUGGGAGMUGGUAUGAAAGGUCUGACGAAAGAGAAGCUGUCUUCUAAAGUUUCUUAGAAUUUGACCUUUAAGUGAAAAGGCUUAGAUAAUUUAGGGGGACGAUAAGACCCUAUGAAACUUUAUAUUUACAUAGGUGGGAGAUUUCUUUAGGUUUAAAAAGAUCUCUUUCUUGUGGGUAUUGUGUUGGGGCAACCGGAAUAGAUAUAGAAUUUGUUUUUUAUAAUAAGUUAAUGAUAAUUAAUGUUUGAUCCCUUUUAAGGAUUAUAAGAUUAAGUUACUCUAGGGAUAACAGCACUAUUUUCUUUGAGAGACCAUAUCGACAAGAGUAGUAGUGACCUCGAUGUUGAAUCAAUAUUUCUGUUUAGCGCAGGGGCUAGAUAGUAGGUCUGUUCGACCUUUAAAAUGUUACGUGAUUUGAGUUCAAGCCGACGUGAGCCAGGUU
Molecule: ribosomal RNA, 555 nt
Filed under: Cuapetes nilandensis
Lineage: Eukaryota; Metazoa; Arthropoda; Malacostraca; Decapoda; Palaemonidae
Description: partial large subunit ribosomal RNA
Source: RNAcentral